CCCUACGGGGUGCAGCAGGCGCGAACACUUUACAAUGCGGGAAACCGCGAUAAGGGAACCCCGAGUGCCAGCAUCAAAUGUUGGCUGUCCGGAUGAUUAAAAAUCAUUUGUUAGCAAGGGCCGGGCAAGACCGGUGCCAGCCGCCGCGGUAACACCGGCGGCCCGAGUGGUAGCCGUUUUUAUUGGGUCUAAAGGGUCCGUAGCCGGCCUGAUAAGUCCUUUGGGAAAUCUGGCAGCUUAACUGUCAGGCUUCUAAGGGAUACUGUCAGGCUUGGGACCGGAAGAGGUAAGGGGUACUCCAGGGGUAGGAGUGAAAUCUUGUAAUCCCUGGGGGACCAUCUGUGGCGAAGGCGCCUUACCAGAACGGGUCCGACGGUGAGGGACGAAAGCUAGGGGAGCAAACCGGAUUAGAUACCCGGGUAGUCCUAGCUGUAAACGAUGCUCGCUAGGUGUCAGACACGGUGCGACCGUGUUUGGUGCCGCAGGGAAGCCGUUAAGCGAGCCACCUGGGAAGUACGGUCGCAAGGCUGAAACUUAAAGGAAUUGGCGGGGGAGCAC
RNAcentral lists this ribosomal RNA (558 nucleotides) under uncultured archaeon. RNAcentral's name for it is "bacterial SSU rRNA". It matches the Rfam family "Archaeal small subunit ribosomal RNA", at positions 321 to 879 of the family's 1478-position model. The record is from RNAcentral.